This 429-nucleotide ribosomal RNA is filed under the name Gemmatimonadota bacterium. RNAcentral describes it as "Gemmatimonadetes bacterium partial 16S ribosomal RNA". It matches the Rfam family "Bacterial small subunit ribosomal RNA", at positions 355 to 776 of the family's 1533-position model. The record is from RNAcentral. Lineage: Bacteria; Pseudomonadati; Gemmatimonadota.
UAGGGAAUCUUCGGCAAUGGACGAAAGUCUGUCCGAGCAACGCCGCGUGAGUGAAGAAGGUUUUCGGAUCGUAAAACUCUGUUGUUAGAGAAGAACAAGGACGUUAGUAACUGAACGUCCCCUGACGGUAUCUAACCAGAAAGCCACGGCUAACUACGUGCCAGCAGCCGCGGUAAUACGUAGGUGGCAAGCGUUGUCCGGAUUUAUUGGGCGUAAAGCGAGCGCAGGCGGUUUCUUAAGUCUGAUGUGAAAGCCCCCGGCUCAACCGGGGAGGGUCAUUGGAAACUGGGAGACUAGAGUGCAGAAGAGGAGAGUGGAAUUCCAUGUGUAGCGGUGAAAUGCGUAGAUAUAUGGAGGAACACCAGUGGCGAAGGCGGCUCUCUGGUCUGUAACUGACGCUGAGGCGCGAAAGCGUGGGGAGCAAACAGG